GAUGAACGCUGGCGGCGUGCCUAAUACAUGCAAGUCGAGCGAACAGACGAGGAGCUUGCUCCUCUGACGUUAGCGGCGGACGGGUGAGUAACACGUGGAUAACCUACCUAUAAGACUGGGAUAACUUCGGGAAACCGGAGCUAAUACCGGAUAAUAUAUUGAACCGCAUGGUUCAAUAGUGAAAGACGGUUUUGCUGUCACUUAUAGAUGGAUCCGCGCUGCAUUAGCUAGUUGGUAAGGUAACGGCUUACCAAGGCAACGAUGCGUAGCCGACCUGAGAGGGUGAUCGGCCACACUGGAACUGAGACACGGUCCAGACUCCUACGGGAGGCAGCAGUAGGGAAUCUUCCGCAAUGGGCGAAAGCCUGACGGAGCAACGCCGCGUGAGUGAUGAAGGUCUUCGGAUCGUAAAACUCUGUUAUUAGGGAAGAACAUAUGUGUAAGUAACUGUGCACGUCUUGACGGUACCUAAUCAGAAAGCCACGGCUAACUACGUG
Molecule: ribosomal RNA, 497 nt
Filed under: uncultured bacterium
Lineage: Bacteria
Description: partial 16S ribosomal RNA
Rfam family: Bacterial small subunit ribosomal RNA
Source: RNAcentral